RNAcentral lists this ribosomal RNA (230 nucleotides) under uncultured bacterium. RNAcentral describes it as "partial 16S ribosomal RNA". It matches the Rfam family "Bacterial small subunit ribosomal RNA", at positions 100 to 334 of the family's 1533-position model. The record is from RNAcentral.
CGGGACGGGUGAGUAAUGUCUGGGAAACUGCCUGAUGAGGGGGAGUAACUACUGGAAACGGUAGCUAAUACCGCAUAACGUCGCAAGACCAAAGAGGGGACCUCGGCCUCUUGCCAUCGGAUGUGCCCAGAUGGGAUUAGCUAGUAGGUGGGGUAACGGCUCACCUAGGCGACGAUCCCUAGCUGGUCUGAGAGGAUGGCCAGCCACACUGGAACUGAGACACGGUCCAG